Molecule: ribosomal RNA, 721 nt
Filed under: Lutibacter sp.
Lineage: Bacteria; Pseudomonadati; Bacteroidota; Flavobacteriia; Flavobacteriales; Flavobacteriaceae
Description: bacterial SSU rRNA
Rfam family: Bacterial small subunit ribosomal RNA
Source: RNAcentral
GAUGAACGCUAGCGGCAGGCUUAACACAUGCAAGUCGAGGGGUAACAGGGUGCUUGCACCGCUGACGACCGGCGCACGGGUGCGUAACGCGUAUAGAACCUACCUUUUACAGGAGAAUACCCCAGAGAAAUUUGGAAUAAUGCUCCAUAGUAUUAUUGAAUGGCAUCAUUUGAUAAUUAAACAUUUAUGGGUAAAAGAUGGCUAUGCGUUCUAUUAGCUAGAUGGUAAGGUAACGGCUUACCAUGGCAACGAUAGAUAGGGGUCCUGAGAGGGAGAUCCCCCACACUGGUACUGAGACACGGACCAGACUCCUACGGGAGGCAGCAGUGAGGAAUAUUGGACAAUGGAGGCAACUCUGAUCCAGCCAUGCCGCGUGCAGGAAGACGGUCCUAUGGAUUGUAAACUGCUUUUAUACAGGAAGAAACACUCCCUCGUGAGGGAGCUUGACGGUACUGUAUGAAUAAGCACCGGCUAACUCCGUGCCAGCAGCCGCGGUAAUACGGAGGGUGCAAGCGUUAUCCGGAAUCAUUGGGUUUAAAGGGUCCGUAGGCGGGCUAAUAAGUCAGGGGUGAAAUCCAACAGCUUAACUGUUGAAUUGCCUUUGAUACUGUUAGUCUUGAGUUAUAUGGAAGUAGAUAGAAUGUGUAGUGUAGCGGUGAAAUGCUUAGAGAUUACACAGAAUACCGAUUGCGAAGGCAGUCUACUACGUAUAUACUGACGC